AACAGGAUUAGAUACCCUGGUAGUCCACGCCCUAAACGAUGUCAACUAGCUGUUGGGGGCUUCGGCCCUUGGUAGCGCAGCUAACGCGUGAAGUUGACCGCCUGGGGAGUACGGUCGCAAGAUUAAAACUCAAAGGAAUUGACGGGGACCCGCACAAGCGGUGGAUGAUGUGGAUUAAUUCGACGCAACGCGAAAAACCUUACCUACCCUUGACAUGUCUGGAAUGCCGAAGAGAUUUGGCAGUGCUCGCAAGAGAACCGGAACACAGGUGCUGCAUGGCUGUCGUCAGCUCGUGUCGUGAGAUGUUGGGUUAAGUCCCGCAACGAGCGCAACCCUUGUCAUUAGUUGCUACGAAAGGGCACUCUAAUGAGACUGCCGGUGACAAACCGGAGGAAGGUGGGGAUGACGUCAAGUCCUCAUGGCCCUUAUGGGUAGGGCUUCACACGUCAUACAAUGGUCGGGACAGAGGGCAGCCAACCCGCGAGGGGGAGCCAAUCCCAGAAACCCGAUCGUAGUCCGGAUCGCAGUCUGCAACUCGACUGCGUGAAGUCGGAAUCGCUAGUAAUCGCGGAUCAGCAUGUCGCGGUGAAUACGUUCCCGGGUCUUGUACACACCGCCCGUCACACCAUGGGAGUGGGUUUUACCAGAAGUAGUUAGCCUAACCGCAAGGGGGGCGAUUACCACGGUAGGAUUCAUGACUGGGGUGAAGUCGUAACAAGGUAACC
Molecule: ribosomal RNA, 725 nt
Filed under: uncultured bacterium
Lineage: Bacteria
Description: bacterial SSU rRNA
Rfam family: Bacterial small subunit ribosomal RNA
Source: RNAcentral